CUGGGACUUUAUCUCCAUAUAUAUGACAUGAAUAGAUAUAUGUGGUAAACGAAUCCCGAACAAGGAAAUUCGAGAUGAAUUUUUCUUAAUUGAAAGUUUUUCUUGAAUUGAAGUAUCUGCAGAAGA
RNAcentral lists this small nucleolar RNA (126 nucleotides) under Debaryomyces hansenii. The record is from RNAcentral. Lineage: Eukaryota; Fungi; Ascomycota; Pichiomycetes; Serinales; Debaryomycetaceae.